CUCAAGCGGCUGGGGGCGGCGCGGCGGCUCGAUGUAGAUCGGCGGCAGCGGUUGGAGCUUGCAGGGGGCGGAUCCGUGCACGGCAGGGGCUGGGGAGGCGGAUCAGGAGGCCGGCGGCGAGGUGGGGUCACCAGUGACGACGAGGAUGGCCGGAGCGCGGAUUCCCUGGCGGAUCCAUGGAGUCUGAGGCUCCUAGGCAAGGAAGGGAAGUGAGGGAGAGAAGGAGGGAGUAAGGAGGGGCGGCGCAGCGACCUAGGCAGGAGCUUGCCGGAGCCGGGCGAUGGUGGACGGGCACGGGAGACAGAGGGAUCCGGCGUGGCGGCGCGAAGUCCUUGCAGGUGGCGCACCUCGGCCGUCAUCGAGGCCACCGCCGCCACCUGCCGGUGCAACGAGGCAGAGGAGGAUCUCCUGGUUUUGCUUCGUCGCCAACUCCAUGUUCACGGUCGUGGUUCUAAUCCCUCUCUUGCCACUCCACUGUUUUGAUUUAUUGUAUACGUGCAGUUCAUCUCCCAGUGACCCAGUCGCUGGCUGGAUGUGUCUAUAUCUCUCAUCAUUUUGUCAAAUCAGAUAACCUAUCAGUAGGAAAUUAUUUUCCUCCACUUUGCAAGACCACAUAACCAAUUUACUAUCAGCGGUCUAUACGAUUAAUUUCUAACUUUGCAGGAUCAUUCUGACUCGGCAUCUGUCACUCUAACAAGUGUUCGUCUUUAAUGUCCUACACUAUAUUCUGCAACAAAAUUUGCCCUGUGUGCAUGAGUACCAAUAAUUUGGGUUAUUUCGUUUUGUUGAAAUGAUGAUAAAAUUGAGUUAAGCGAGUUGGAGCUACUGCACCCCUAGCCUGAGUGGAAUGAGCUCAUGGAGCGCCUCGAAGGCCCCGACAACGGUGGCAGUAGGCGUUGCCAUUAGAUCUGGAGGUAGAGGGAGUCACCACGAGGAGCGGCAACCGAAGACAGGCAGCAUCGACCGUGUCAAGCAAGCUGUAGGAGGCCUGCGCGACUCCUUGCCGAUCACUUGACAGUCCAAGCCUGCAAUAGUGUCGAUUCAGGUAGGCGUGUGGCAUGGCCGAAUCCUGCCCGAUCAAGGCCAACCAAUGGACAUGUUGUAUGCAUCGAUGUCCCAAUCCAGCAGGCAAUACAUGUCUGCAAACAGUCCUGAAAAAAGUCAUUCGAUAAGAAAAAAACUCAGGAAAGUAUGGUGGUUCUACGUCACUAGGCAAAUCAGAGGAGACUACCCAUCUAUAAUGACAGGUGGUGGUAGACACCUGAAUUGUAGUGAUGCAUUCUCUUCCGACAGGCUCCAAAUGAUGGUUAUUCUGUAGGAUUGGGAGAUGGAUGUAUUGUCCUUGUCCGUGCUGUUUGCUUUUGUGGGAAGAAAAAAAUGUUGAGUUUCAUGGUUCGCAGUGUGGUUUUCGAUGGUGGAUGUGACAUCCGACGAUUGCCGAGGAAGAAAGGUUGCAUUGGCAAAUGGGGCCUCAACAAUCUCUUGUGCCAUUUGAACUUUAAUUUGAUUAUCGAUGAAGCAAGAUAUUCUAGAUUUAUCGAAUCCUAUUUUUUUCAUCAGAUCGAUAUGGUUGUCUGUACGAACUACGGCAUAAGCUUCUUUGAGCAGCUUUUGACGGUGUUUCCAUCUUUUAAUUUCUCAGCAAUUGCAAGUACCAACCUCAGAGUUGAAAGUAAGUGAUGCAUAUUUUUCACGGAUCAAAUAGGAAUCACUACCACAGUACUGGCCUAACUUCUGUACUAAUGCCUACAUCAACCGCCUGGGAAGAAGUUCUAGGUACAUCUAUUGAAUCGGUCGGUUUAUCUUCCUUUAUCUAUAACUCGAUAUAGAUAUUAGGCAAGUAGGCUAUUACAGUACAGGUGGACCACUUUUAGACAUGCCAUAUUCUUUGUCUGAAUAACAAAAUUAUUUUCACAUGGAAACCUCACACAAAAUCGUUGUUUAAAUCAUUGUUGGAUGUUCCAUUCUUUCAUUAUUUUGUUACAUUCAAACUAAGAAUAAUGCAAGAAAAAAAACCUUCAUUGUUCUAGAGAGGUGUUGGAGGCUCAGAGCUGCAUAUUCUAAUGAUAUAACUGUCAAUUACAAAAUAAGACCAAACACUGUUUCUACGAGUUAGCAUCAAGUUGCCAGGAGCAGUGAAGCGCCAAUAAUGGUCAACUAUGGUGCUUGAGGAGAUGGAUAUAUGUAGUUGUAAGGUUGCAGAUAUAGGCUGGAGCAAUAUGUAAGUACUAUUACAGAAUUACUUCAGCUUAUGCUGAGUGUUUCCAUUAGCUAGAUGGUUGUGCUUCAUGUCCUAGGAUCACAUGCCCUUUAUGUUCAGAGUACGGUCUGAUUAUGAAUAAGAUAAUAAAAGGGUCGUUACUUCUAACUAGACAUUUUGUUAAUUUCCAGUUGAAGGCUUCCACGCGCCACCUCCUUCUCCCCCUCCUUCGCCGGGUCGAGAAGGGAGCAGCGACGAAGCAGAGGUAGACGUGGACACGUGGUAGGAGCCAAGGGGGGAACGGGGAAAGGCGGACGCGAGAUCCGUGAAGCCAGAGAAGGUACGUGAGCUUGUCCACCGCAGGCUAUAGCUCCAAAAUCGGCGGUGUCAGCCGCCACCAGUGCCACCGUGUUCGCCUCCGGCUGGCCUGGUAGCAACAAAAGUAUGGCUGCAGGUGUGGUUCAUUCAGUUUUGUAGUUCGAUUUACUUGCUUGUGCAUAUGUGCGUGUAUACUGAGAGAGAGGGAGAGAUUAUUCUGUUCUAGCAGUCAUAUUUCUGUCGCAAAUCUGCUCCCCUCCACUCCUUUUUCAUUUAACUGAAAUCUGAAUGUGAAAAGCAGUUGCAAAUUAAGAGCAGCAGAGUAAAUGUUCAAAAGUUCAGAGCAGGUGCAUGUUUUUGAGA
RNA transcript from Triticum dicoccoides, 2881 nucleotides. RefSeq lists it as uncharacterized. Lineage: Eukaryota; Viridiplantae; Streptophyta; Magnoliopsida; Poales; Poaceae. The record is from RefSeq and is a predicted model, not a curated record. The transcript is spliced from 6 exons.